GGCCCAGUGGCUCAGUUGGUUAGAGCGUCGCCCUGUCACGGCGAAGGUCACGGGUUCGAGUCCCGUUUGGGUCG
Molecule: transfer RNA, 74 nt
Filed under: Lachnospiraceae bacterium
Lineage: Bacteria; Bacillati; Bacillota; Clostridia; Lachnospirales; Lachnospiraceae
Also listed under: 1 other name
Description: tRNA-Asp
Rfam family: tRNA
About the family: Transfer RNA (tRNA) molecules are approximately 80 nucleotides in length. Their secondary structure includes four short double-helical elements and three loops (D, anti-codon, and T loops).
Source: RNAcentral